Lates calcarifer (barramundi perch) is the source of this 338-nucleotide long non-coding RNA. RefSeq lists it as uncharacterized. NCBI's taxonomy places the organism in Eukaryota, Metazoa, Chordata, Actinopteri, Centropomidae. The transcript has 5 exons. The record is from RefSeq and is a predicted model, not a curated record.
AGUCAGUCUGCGUGCCGAUGCUGAUUCUGGUGAUGACCCUCCCAUCGUAUGCAUGGAUCAUCAGAUACUCACGUGAGACAACAUUGCAUGUUCUGCUGUUGAAUCCAUCUCAGUUGAUUUGCCUGCAUAUGAAGGGCUGACAGGGCUGCUGGCAAUAGUCACACUGAGCAAGAUGCACAUCCUGUUUAGACGCAACCUCUGGAACCUGCAGUGCAGCAAGGCACUAUGGGUAAUAUAGAGAUACUGCACAAAGUCGAUGGUACCUUUUGAACACAAGGAAUUUGUUUUGGCUCUGGCUUGUAUGCUAUGAGACGAGGCAGACCCACACAAGGUAUAUC